Long non-coding RNA from Zingiber officinale, 502 nucleotides. RefSeq lists it as uncharacterized. The record is from RefSeq and is a predicted model, not a curated record. The transcript is spliced from 2 exons. Lineage: Eukaryota; Viridiplantae; Streptophyta; Magnoliopsida; Zingiberales; Zingiberaceae.
AUUUGUAUAUAACAGCCACCAAGCAACGCUAAGCUCUGGCCUUCAUCAUCUCCUUUCUCAUCUCUUCUUGCUCCUUGCUUCAGGUAGAGGGAGAAGAUGGUGAUGAUGAGCCAGCAAUUAGAGAGGCUUGUGGGCAGCCUCAAAUCAAAAAUCAAGUCACUGAAGGGGAAUAAGAAGCCAAUCUACGGCAAAAUGGACAAGACAGACAGCAUGAGGGUGGAGAUCAGAAGCAAGAGAGCUCAGAAGCUGAUAGCCAAGAACCUCAAGAUGGCAGAUUCCAUGGUUAACAACAACAACAAAACCUUCAUCUUUUGACAAAGUACUAUUAGUAUAAUAAUUAAUACAUAGAUAGCGUCCCAUGUAUAUUGUUAUUACUUCCAUCCACCACGAGGACUGAUUUCAUGAGAGGACCAAUUGAUAUGGUGGCUCUGUGUUUUUACAAGUUUUUGUUUCUGUAAAAUUUCACAUGAAAUAGUUUUCAAAAGUGAUGUUGGGUUGAGGC